GCGCUAGUGGCGGAAUUGGUAGACGCACUGGUUUUAGGUACCAGCGGGUAACCGUGGGGGUUCGAGUCCCUCCUGGCGCACCA
RNAcentral lists this transfer RNA (83 nucleotides) under compost metagenome. RNAcentral's name for it is "tRNA-Leu". It matches the Rfam family "tRNA". From Rfam's summary of the family: Transfer RNA (tRNA) molecules are approximately 80 nucleotides in length. Their secondary structure includes four short double-helical elements and three loops (D, anti-codon, and T loops). The record is from RNAcentral.